This 160-nucleotide non-coding RNA is filed under the name unclassified sequences. RNAcentral describes it as "Pseudomonadales-1 RNA". It matches the Rfam family "Pseudomonadales-1 RNA". The record is from Rfam by way of RNAcentral.
CCUGUCGCUUGACCAAAGGCAGAAUGCACCAAAGCGUAAAACAAUCUGAUUGGGUGAGUUGGUCGCACCACCAAAGAGAGAACGAAAGCCGACACGCCUGCUGACCCUGUGCAUUGGGUGGCAGGUAUGGCGGUUAGUAGCGUUCGCCCACGACACAGGC